GCCUGCUUAGCUCAAUUGGUAGAGCAUCGGUUUUGUAAACCGAGGGUUGUCGGUUCAACUCCGAUAGUAGGCU
Molecule: transfer RNA, 73 nt
Filed under: Boodleopsis pusilla
Lineage: Eukaryota; Viridiplantae; Chlorophyta; Ulvophyceae; Bryopsidales; Halimedaceae
Description: tRNA-Thr
Rfam family: tRNA
About the family: Transfer RNA (tRNA) molecules are approximately 80 nucleotides in length. Their secondary structure includes four short double-helical elements and three loops (D, anti-codon, and T loops). Further hydrogen bonds mediate the characteristic L-shaped molecular structure. tRNAs have two regions of fundamental functional importance: the anti-codon, which is responsible for specific mRNA codon recognition, and the 3' end, to which the tRNAs corresponding amino acid is attached (by aminoacyl-tRNA synthetases). tRNAs cope with the degeneracy of the genetic code in two manners: having more than one tRNA (with a specific anti-codon) for a particular amino acid; and 'wobble' base-pairing, i.e. permitting non-standard base-pairing at the 3rd anti-codon position.
Source: RNAcentral